GGUCGGUUUGGCCGGAUUUCACACGGGUGUUGCAUGGCUGUCGUCAGCUCGUGUCGUGAGAUGUUGGGUUAAGUCCCGCAACGAGCGCAACCCUCAUCCUUAGUUACCAUCAGGCUAUGCUGGGGACUUUAAGGAAACUGCCAGUGAUAAACUGGAGGAAGGUGGGGAUGAUGUCAAGUCAUCAUGGCCCUUAUGGAGUGGGCUACACACGUGCUACAAUGGUGAUUACAAUGGGCUGCAAGGUCGCAGGGCUGAGCUAAUCCUAAAAAAUCAUCUCAGUUCGGAUUGUUCUCUGCAACUCGAGAGCAUGAAGUUGGAAUCGCUAGUAAUCGUGGAUCAGCGUGCCACGGUGAAUACGUUCUCGGGUCUUGUACACACUGCCCAUCACGCCAUGGUAAUUGGUUUCACUCGAAGCU
RNAcentral lists this ribosomal RNA (416 nucleotides) under Wolbachia endosymbiont of Myzus persicae. RNAcentral describes it as "bacterial SSU rRNA". It matches the Rfam family "Bacterial small subunit ribosomal RNA", at positions 1013 to 1428 of the family's 1533-position model. Lineage: Bacteria; Pseudomonadati; Pseudomonadota; Alphaproteobacteria; Rickettsiales; Anaplasmataceae. The record is from RNAcentral.